AUUGAACGCUGGCGGCAUGCCUUACACAUGCAAGUCGAACGGCAGCGGACCUUCGGGUGCCGGCGAGUGGCGAACGGGUGAGUAAAGUAUCGGAACGUACCUUUCAGUGGGGGAUAACGUAGCGAAAGUUACGCUAAUACCGCAUAUUCUGUGAGCAGGAAAGCAGGGGAUCGCAAGACCUUGCGCUGAUUGAGCGGCCGAUAUCAGAUUAGCUAGUUGGUGAGGUAAAGGCUCACCAAGGCGACGAUCUGUAGCGGGUCUGAGAGGAUGAUCCGCCACACUGGAACUGAGACACGGUCCAGACUCCUACGGGAGGCAGCAGUGGGGAAUUUUGGACAAUGGGGGCAACCCUGAUCCAGCCAUGCCGCGUGAGUAAAGAAGGCCUUCG
Molecule: ribosomal RNA, 388 nt
Filed under: uncultured bacterium SA4
Lineage: Bacteria
Description: bacterial SSU rRNA
Rfam family: Bacterial small subunit ribosomal RNA
Source: RNAcentral